ACAAAUUAAAACGCAGUUGCCUAUAUAAUGCCGCAAUACGGGCGGUAAGUUUCUACCCAAAGCCGUAAACUUUGGACUAUAAGCAGAUUGAGGAUGACU
This is a regulatory RNA element of 99 nucleotides. It matches the Rfam family "Purine riboswitch aptamer". Rfam says of the family: Riboswitches are metabolite binding domains within certain messenger RNAs that serve as precision sensors for their corresponding targets. Allosteric rearrangement of mRNA structure is mediated by ligand binding, and this results in modulation of gene expression. The record is from Rfam.